RNAcentral lists this long non-coding RNA (247 nucleotides) under Sorghum bicolor (sorghum). RNAcentral describes it as "long non-coding RNA (SBIC_LNC010188)". Lineage: Eukaryota; Viridiplantae; Streptophyta; Magnoliopsida; Poales; Poaceae. The record is from RNAcentral.
CACAUUGGCUCUAAUCAUAGAUUUCUCCAUCUCCUUAUAAUACUCUUCAACAGAGAGACUUCCUUGCUUCAAAUUCUGCAAUUUAUCAAAAAGAUCACGCCGAUAGUGCUUCGGCACAAAACGACUUCUCAUUUCUCUCUUCAUUUCAUCCCAAGUUGCAAUAGGAUGUCUUCCAUCUUCUUCACGAUCACUGAGGAGCUGCUCCCACCAUAUCAAAGCAUAUCCUUCAAACUCCAGAGAUGCCAUU